Oreochromis aureus is the source of this 449-nucleotide long non-coding RNA. RefSeq lists it as uncharacterized. The transcript has 3 exons. NCBI's taxonomy places the organism in Eukaryota, Metazoa, Chordata, Actinopteri, Cichliformes, Cichlidae. The record is from RefSeq and is a predicted model, not a curated record.
CUGUGAUGAUGAUGGUGGAGGAAGCAGAGAUGGCCUCCUGGUGUAAACUCCUUGUCUUCCAUGAAAACUGCCAGACUGAUGAGUAAAAGCUCUGCUGCCGUGUGACGACUCGUCCACGAAGACAGGACUUCGAUGUCCACUGAAGCUGACACUUCUUCUCCUGACUCUUCAUCUCUGGCGACGACCUGCAGAGCGGACAUUAGAGCAGUGUUCACGGACCAACAUUAAAGUGUUCAAAGAGCUGAAGAGGAUUCACACUGUGAAGCUUUUAGUCCUGAUCUUCAUUCUCUCCUCCUGCUGAUUCUGGUGUUUGGAUCACUUCCACCUGAAAGACGUCUCACCUGCAGCCCAAGGCCUUGUUAUCUCACAGAGAUGUUUUCUCACAAAUCCAAACAAAUUUAUUUUAACAUUCUUUGAACACAGGGAGACUUUUCUUCCUGCAGCUUAGU